This is a long non-coding RNA of Phyllostomus discolor (pale spear-nosed bat), 117 nucleotides long. RefSeq lists it as uncharacterized. The record is from RefSeq and is a predicted model, not a curated record. NCBI's taxonomy places the organism in Eukaryota, Metazoa, Chordata, Mammalia, Chiroptera, Phyllostomidae. The transcript has 3 exons.
CAUAGGGACGGGAGGGCAAUUGUGAUUAGAAUGAUGGCUGGGAGGAUUAUUCAGAUAGUUUCUACUUCUUGGGCAUCCAUUAUGCUUGUAUGAGUUAGGUGGGUUGUUAGCAUUGUA